UACGUAGGGGGCAAGCGUUGUCCGGAUUUAUUGGGCGUAAAGAGCGUGUAGGCGGCCAUACAGGUCCGUUGUGAAAACUGGAGGCUUAACCUCCAGACGUCGAUGGAAACCGUAUGGCUAGAGUCCGGAAGAGGAGAGUGGAAUUCCUGGUGUAGCGGUGAAAUGCGCAGAUAUCAGGAAGAACACCCGUGGCGAAGGCGGCUCUCUGGGACGGUACUGACGCUGAGACGCGGAAGCGUGGGGAGCGAACAGG
RNAcentral lists this ribosomal RNA (253 nucleotides) under uncultured bacterium. RNAcentral's name for it is "partial 16S ribosomal RNA". It matches the Rfam family "Bacterial small subunit ribosomal RNA", at positions 524 to 776 of the family's 1533-position model. The record is from RNAcentral.